Molecule: non-coding RNA, 29 nt
Filed under: Bombyx mori (domestic silkworm)
Lineage: Eukaryota; Metazoa; Arthropoda; Insecta; Lepidoptera; Bombycidae
Source: RNAcentral
UCAACGUGUCAUCGGCUUGUCAUCGGCUA